Dreissena polymorpha is the source of this 973-nucleotide long non-coding RNA. RefSeq lists it as uncharacterized. The record is from RefSeq and is a predicted model, not a curated record. Lineage: Eukaryota; Metazoa; Mollusca; Bivalvia; Myida; Dreissenidae. The transcript is spliced from 3 exons.
UCAAAGGUCAAGGUCACUGUGACCUGAAAUAGUAAAAUGGUUUCCGGAUGAUAAUUCAAGAACGCUUAUGCCUAGGAUCAUGAAACUUCAUAGGUAGAUUGAUCAUGACUAGCAGAUGACCCCUAUUGAUUUUCAGGUCACUAGGUCAAAGGUCAAGGUCACGGUGACCCGAAAUAGUAAAAUGGUUUCCGGAUGAUAAUUCAAGAACCCUUAUGCCUAGGAUCAUGAAACUUGAUAGGUAGAUUGAUCAUGACUAGCAGAUGACCCCUAUUGAUUUUCAGGUCACUAGGUCAAAGGUCAAGGUCACAGUGACCCGAAAUAGUAAAAUGGUUUCCUGAUGAUAACUCAGGAAAGCUUAUGCCUAGGAUCAUGAAACUUCAUAGGUACAUUGAUCAUGACUCGCAGAUGACCCCUAUUGAUUUUCAGGUCACUAGAUCAAAGGUCAAGGUCACUGUGACCCGAAAUAGUAAAAUGGUUUCCGGAUGAUAAUUCAAGAACGCUUAUGCCUAGGAUCAUGAAACUUCAUAGGUAGAUUGAUCAUGACUAGCAGAUGACCCCUAUUGAUUUUCAGGUCACUAGGUCAAAGGUCAAGGUCACGGUGACCCGAAAUAGUAAAAUGGUUUCCGGAUGAUAAUUCAAGAACCCUUAUGCCUAGGAUCAUGAAACUUGAUAGGUAGAUUGAUCAUGACUAGCAGAUGACCCCUAUUGAUUUUCAGGUCACUAGGUCAAAGGUCAAGGUCACAGUGACCCGAAAUAGUAAAAUGGUUUCCUGAUGAUAACUCAGGAAAGCUUAUGCCUAGGAUCAUGAAACUUCAUAGGUACAUUGAUCAUGACUCGCAGAUGACCCGUAUUGAUUUUCAGGUCACUAGAUCAAAGGUCAAGGUCACAGUGACAAAAAACAUAUUUACAAAAUGGCUGUCACUACAACUUAGAGCCCAUAUGGGGGGCAUGCAUGUUUUACAAACAGCCCUUG